RNAcentral lists this ribosomal RNA (830 nucleotides) under uncultured Alphaproteobacteria bacterium. RNAcentral's name for it is "bacterial SSU rRNA". It matches the Rfam family "Bacterial small subunit ribosomal RNA", at positions 28 to 906 of the family's 1533-position model. The record is from RNAcentral. Lineage: Bacteria; Pseudomonadati; Pseudomonadota; Alphaproteobacteria.
AACGAACGCUGGCGGCAGGCCUAACACAUGCAAGUCAAGCGCUCACUUCGGUGGGAGCGGCGGACGGGUUAGUAACGCGUGGGAACGUGCCCUUCUCUACGGAAUAGCCAUUGGAAACGAUGAGUAAUACCGUAUACGCCCUUCGGGGGAAAGAUUUAUCGGAGAAGGAUCGGCCCGCGUUAGAUUAGAUAGUUGGUGGGGUAACGGCCUACCAAGUCUACGAUCUAUAGCUGGUUUUAGAGGAUGAUCAGCAACACUGGGACUGAGACACGGCCAGACUCCUACGGGAGGCAGCAGUGGGGAAUCUUAGACAAUGGGCGCAAGCCUGAUCUAGCCAUGCCGCGUGAGUGAUGAAGGCCCUAGGGUCGUAAAGCUCUUUCGCCAGGGAUGAUAAUGACAGUACCUGGUAAAGAAACCCCGGCUAACUCCGUGCCAGCAGCCGCGGUAAUACGGAGGGGGUUAGCGUUGUUCGGAAUUACUGGGCGUAAAGCGCACGUAGGCGGACCAGAAAGUUGGGGGUGAAAUCCCGGGGCUCAGCCCCGGAACUGCCUCCAAAACUCCUGGUCUAGAGUUCGAGAGAGGUGAGUGGAAUUCCAAGUGUAGAGGUGAAAUUCGUAGAUAUUUGGAGGAACACCAGUGGCGAAGGCGGCUCACUGGCUCGAUACCGACGCUGAGGUGCGAAAGUGUGGGGAGCAAACAGGAUUAGAUACCCUGGUAGUCCACACCGUAAACGAUGAAUGCCAGUCGUCGGGUAGUAUACUAUUCGGUGACACACCUAACGGAUUAAGCAUUCCGCCUGGGGAGUACGGUCGCAAGAUUAAAACUCAAAG